AGGGCACCACCAGGAGUGGAGCCUGCGGCUUAAUUUGACUCAACACGGGGAAACUCACCCGGCCCGGACACCGUGAGGAUUGACAGAUUGAUAGCUUUUUCAUGAUUCGGUGGAUGGUGGUGCAUGGCCGUUCUUAGUUCGUGGAGCGAUUUGUCUGGUUUAUUCCGAUAACGAGCGAGACUCUGGCCUACUAAAUAGUUGGCGCAUUGCUACUGUGCGAACAACACUUCUUAGAGGGAUUUUCGGUGUUCAGCCGCACGAAAUUGAGCAAUAACAGGUCUGUAAUGCCCUUAGGUGCCCGGGGCUGCACGCGCGCUACACUGGCAAAAUCAGCGUGCUUGUCCUUCCCCGAAAGGGGUUGGUAAACCCGUGAAAAUUUGCCGUGAUUGGGAUCGGACAUUGCAAUUAUUGUCCGUGAACGAGGAAUUCCUUGUAGGGGCGAGUCAUCAACUCGCUCUGAAUACGUCCCUGCCCUUUGUACACACCGCCCGUCGCUGCCCGGGACUGAGCCAUUUCGAG
This 519-nucleotide ribosomal RNA is filed under the name uncultured eukaryote. Its description in RNAcentral is "SSU rRNA". It matches the Rfam family "Eukaryotic small subunit ribosomal RNA", at positions 1161 to 1703 of the family's 1831-position model. The record is from RNAcentral.